AUUUUUGUAAAGUUUGAGUAACUUUAGCUUUGCAAAAGCUGAGGAGAACUAGUAAAGUUCCAAACUAU
This 68-nucleotide transfer RNA is filed under the name Duthiersia expansa. RNAcentral describes it as "tRNA-Cys". Lineage: Eukaryota; Metazoa; Platyhelminthes; Cestoda; Diphyllobothriidea; Diphyllobothriidae. The record is from RNAcentral.